GGCUCAGGAUGAACGCUAGCUACAGGCUUAACACAUGCAAGUCGAGGGGCAGCAUUAUCGAAGCUUGCUUUGAUAGAUGGCGACCGGCGCACGGGUGAGUAACGCGUAUCCAACCUUCCCCAUAGUCAGGAAUAGCCCGGCGAAAGUCGAAUUAAUGCCUGAUGUUUUCCACGGACGGCAUCUGAUGUGGAACAAAGAUUGAUCGCUAUGGGAUGGGGAUGCGUCUGAUUAGCUUGUUGGCGGGGUAACGGCCCACCAAGGCAACGAUCAGUAGGGGUUCUGAGAGGAAGGUCCCCCACAUUGGAACUGAGACACGGUCCAAACUCCUACGGGAGGCAGCAGUGAGGAAUAUUGGUCAAUGGGCGGAAGCCUGAACCAGCCAAGUAGCGUGAGGGAUGACUGCCCUAUGGGUUGUAAACCUCUUUUAUAAGGGAAUAAAAUACGGGACAUGUCCUGUUUUGCAUGUACUUUAUGAAUAAGGACCGGCUAAUUCCGUG
RNAcentral lists this ribosomal RNA (497 nucleotides) under uncultured bacterium. Its description in RNAcentral is "bacterial SSU rRNA". It matches the Rfam family "Bacterial small subunit ribosomal RNA", at positions 21 to 507 of the family's 1533-position model. The record is from RNAcentral.